RNAcentral lists this ribosomal RNA (253 nucleotides) under uncultured bacterium. RNAcentral describes it as "partial 16S ribosomal RNA". It matches the Rfam family "Bacterial small subunit ribosomal RNA", at positions 524 to 776 of the family's 1533-position model. The record is from RNAcentral.
UACGUAGGUGGCGAGCGUUGUCCGGAUUUAUUGGGUUUAAAGGGUGCGUAGGCGGCCCUGUAAGUCAGUGCUGAAAUACUCUAGCUUAACUAGAGGGGUGGCAUUGAUACUGCGGGGCUUGAGUACAGAUGAGGUAGGCGGAAUUGACGGUGUAGCGGUGAAAUGCAUAGAUAUCGUCAAGAACACCGAUAGCGAAGGCAGCUUACUAAGCUGUAACUGACGCUGAGGCACGAAAGUGUGGGGAUCAAACAGG